Anas platyrhynchos (mallard) is the source of this 2983-nucleotide long non-coding RNA. RefSeq lists it as uncharacterized. NCBI's taxonomy places the organism in Eukaryota, Metazoa, Chordata, Aves, Anseriformes, Anatidae. The record is from RefSeq and is a predicted model, not a curated record.
UUAAACUUAGAAGUUACAGGCUGGAUUUCAUUAACAGAUCAUGUGAGGGAAGGUUAAACAAAACCUGCUUACAGAAGAGGAGAGAGGCAACUGAAACAAUCAAAUGCUGGCUUAAAGUUUGUUUUCCUCACAAUCAGAUGUCUUUUGUAGGACUAUACGAGGUCUUUUGUAGGACCUUUCUGGUCACCAAGUACCUGCUGGAUUAGAAUCUCCUCACUAUCAGUUCAGCAGAAUCUCUUCUGACCUCUCCCUCUUUGAUCAUUCUCAACCAGCGGCGCAUCCUAAAUGUACACCCUGAAGCUUCAGCACAGCACUGCCGAAGGAGAAGGACUUCUGCACUGGUUCCUCAUGGAGCUCUGGAAGUGAGCGAGCUCAGGGGGACACUCACCUGGAUGCGAGAUGAAGCUGAAAGGGUUUUACAAUAGUUUAGUUAGUGGCCAGCAUGAAACAAGAUUUUUUACAAAGCUAUUCCACAUUACAGUAAUAUCUUGAUGACUCCGUGCAAGGCCGUAGCAUGGCCUCUGCAGAGCUGCGAGCUGAAUGCUGCUCCUCUGACUCGUCUCAUAAGCAGCUAUUAGUUUGUGCAAUUUCCUCUUGCUCCAUAUGGGAACAUCCACGGGGAUUUUACUAGACAUUACCCUCAGGCUUGCAGAAAAGCACAGUGAAUGGCUGACAUAGUAUUCAUACAAUCACAUCUCGUCCCUGUCACCAUUGUCUUCCUCUUCUCUCAAAGGAGGUGGUUCCCUGGUUUGUGGUCACGCAAUGCUAGAAAAGUGGGCUGCCACGGGGUGUUUGCUGUGAUGCCUUUGGCCACAUACAUCUGUGCUGUACUGUUACCCAGCUGCCUAAAACCUGAUCUUGCUCAAAUCUGCAUUUCACCAUUCGCGUGCCGGUGUCUUUUACUAGCGGGUCUCUCCCUCCACAGGCGGUAUAGCUGGAAGUCAGGGACUUGGGUAUCAGCCAAGUAGGCUGUUUUACACACUGGCUUGCAGCAAACUCAUUACCCACAAUACCCAUGAUUUGAUGCAAAAACCUGACCUUUGCCCAUGGCUGGUAAGAGGGUUUGUCCCGAUGCCACGUGCCCAGGGUGGGUCCUGCCCCCUGCCCCUGACAGCAGUCCCCCAUUAGCAUGCCGUGCAGACAGCUGAGCACACACUGCAAUCCAAACACAGCGCCGGCCCUUUCCUCUCCCCUGGUUAAUUUUGUUAAGGAUUUUGUGUUUGACUAAAUAAUUGACUGUUCAAAACACAGGCUGUGUGUAAGGAACACCGGUCGGGGCUCCUCCCUUUGGCCAGCCUCGCUGCGGGGGCACCAGAGCCACCGUGUGACACAUGUCCCCUCCAUGCUGAGGGAAUUAGUUCUCCUGGCUGCUCCACCACCACCUCUCUGCUCACAGGCUUCCUCUGCCACAGAUUGUCGUGGAAUUGUCCACAGGCCCUUAGCCCUGGCACUCACGUCCUGAUCCCAGUGCUCUCACAGCCUGGCUGAAAAACAUUAACCCCAAACGCCUGCAUGGAGACAGACAGCAAGGAUGGAAUGAAAGAACAAAAGGACAGUUCAAAAUAUUCAGCACACUGUACAACAUAUUCAGUCCAGAAUUUACCUAUAAAGUCUUAUUUUGUGACUACUUUUAUUAUAUGUACUGUGGUAAAUAUUAAUGCUAAACUAGAUUAUUAUUAUUAUUAUUAUUAUUAUUAUUAUUAUUAUUAUUAUUAUUAUUAUUAUUAUUAUUAUUAUCAUUAUUAUUAUUAUUAUUAUUAUUAUUCCCUAGCAAGAAGAGUGUUUCUGUAAUUAUUUUUUUUGUGUGUUUUUGGCACAAAAAUGUAUCCUUAUACAUAGCAAAGAACAUGUUGUUUUGCAUAUUGUUCAAUGCACUGAAUUUGUAACAUCCUAAAACCAUUCACAGAAUAUACAUGAAAAUUAUGAAAAACAAAGGUAAACGAUUAAUGUAAGAGCGCACUUUAGUAACAUUCUGCAUUUAGUUUACUAAUGAUAAUUUAAACUAAAAUGGUCCUCCGCAACAGCAUUGAAAUUUUCUCCCCUCAAAACAGUCAUUGAAACUAAACCUACUGGGUGCUCUGAUCAAGUACCAGGGUUAGAAUUGUUUGAUCUGACUAGAAAGAUUUCUCAUUCCACACUUUUUUUUUCCUUCCCCUCCUUUACUGCUCAAGCAGGGGUGGCAAAAUCGGGCUGAGCCUGGCCCAUUCUUCCUCCUGGGUCUGGCUACAUUCGACAGCUGCAGGUGAAGCACUGCCUGGCACCCAACAGUCACACCUUCAACACCACACCAGCUUAUAAAAACCUACCAGACAAAGCCUGGCCAGCACAGACUGUUGUUACAGAGCAGCUGAGGCAGCUCAUCCCAGGCGAAUGGCUAGCUGUCUGCGCCUGUUUGCCAGUUUGCGGGAGAGGGCAGGCCCGUGUGCCCAGGCUGCAGCCGGCCCUUAUGUCCUUCUGCCCCACGAGAAGCCGGCGUCCUUGGCUUCUUCUGCCAAGUGGCUUCACCUCCUCUGUCCGUGACUUCACCUCGAGUGGCAGAGGUGGUGUACUGACUGCUCCUUGGGCUGCGGUGGGUACAUGAAGACGAGCAAAGGCAGCGUUGCCAAAAUCGGGUGAUAGCUGGCAGAAGCAGUGUAUGAGGGGUUUCUUAACAUGGCCCUGGCUUUUUGUCUUCCACCCAUCAGGCCGAUGCAGAUUCUUUAUGUUACUCCCUUAUGCCUCAACAUCUACAAAGCAAAAAUGAGCAGGAAUAAGCUUUUCCUCCCUCCUGCCCCCAGCCCUUAUCAGCAUGGCCACUCACUGUGAAGCUGGGUUUCACAGAGCACGGGCCCAGCCUUAUCACCAUCCUUUGAGAGAAGCAGAGGGUAACAGCCACCCUAGAUACUGUGUUAACGCACACAUUGUAUGUUUGCAGCUCAGCCUUGAUUGAAGACAAUCAGAACAAAAUAAGAAAGAGACAAUAAAAUACCUCACUGUGAUGAUA